AGCUUUUUGUUUUGGAAACAGGCGACUUUGAAAGUCCCCAAAAGCGGUUCGACUCCUCUAAAAGCUU
This 67-nucleotide transfer RNA is filed under the name Iphione sp. YZ-2018. Its description in RNAcentral is "tRNA-Ser". The record is from RNAcentral. Lineage: Eukaryota; Metazoa; Annelida; Polychaeta; Phyllodocida; Iphionidae.